GACGAACGCUGGCGGCGUGCUUAACACAUGCAAGUCGAACGGUAAGGCCCUUCGGGGUACACGAGUGGCGAACGGGUGGGUAACACGUGGGUGAUCUGCCCUGCACUUCGGGAUAAGCCUGGGAAACUGGGCCUAAUACCGGAUAGGUCCCUGGUAUGCUUGUCCUGGGGGGGAAACCUUUGGUGGUGUGUGAUUGGCCCGCGGCGUAUCAGCUUGUUGGUGGGGUGAUAUCCUACCAAGUGGACGACGGGUAGCAGGCCUGAGAGGGGGAACGGCCACGCUGGGACUGAGAUAAGGCGCAGACGCCUAAGGGAGGCAGCAGUGGAGAAGAUUGCACAAUGGGCGCAAGCCUGAUGCAGCGACGCAGCGGGAGGGAUGACGGCAUUCGGGUUGUAAACCUCGUUCAGAACCGACGAAGCGCAAGUGACGGUAGGUGCAGAAGAAGGACCGGCCAACUACGUGCCAGCCGCCGCCGUAA
RNAcentral lists this ribosomal RNA (478 nucleotides) under uncultured bacterium. RNAcentral describes it as "partial 16S ribosomal RNA". It matches the Rfam family "Bacterial small subunit ribosomal RNA", at positions 28 to 523 of the family's 1533-position model. The record is from RNAcentral.